ACGGGAGGCAGCAGUGAGGAAUAUUGGUCAAUGGUCGGAAGACUGAACCAGCCAUGCCGCGUGACGGAAGACGGUCCUAUGGAUUGUAAACGUCUUUUGUACGGGAGGAAUAAGGUCCACGAGUGGGCCGACGACAGUACCGUACGAAUAAGCAUCGGCUAACUCCGUGCCAGCAGCCGCGGUAAUACGGAGGAUGCGAGCGUUAUCCGGAUUUAUUGGGUUUAAAGGGUGCGUAGGCGGGGACUUAAGUCAGCGGUGAAAUGCAGGGGCCCAACCCCUGACGUGCCGUUGAUACUGGGUUUCUUGAAUACGGAUGCUGUGGGAGGAAUGUGUGGUGUAGCGGUGAAAUGCAUAGAUAUCACACAGAACACCGAUUGCGAAGGCAUCUCACAAAUCCGUCAUUGACGCUGAGGCACGAAAGUGCGGGGAUCAAACAGGAUUAGAUACCCUGGUA
RNAcentral lists this ribosomal RNA (454 nucleotides) under uncultured Porphyromonadaceae bacterium. RNAcentral's name for it is "partial 16S ribosomal RNA". It matches the Rfam family "Bacterial small subunit ribosomal RNA", at positions 341 to 792 of the family's 1533-position model. The record is from RNAcentral. Lineage: Bacteria; Pseudomonadati; Bacteroidota; Bacteroidia; Bacteroidales; Porphyromonadaceae.